UACGAAUGGAGCAAGCGUUGUUCGGAAUCACUGGGCUUAAAGCGUGCGUAGGCGGACAUGAAAGUCAGAUGUGAAAGCCCAGGGCUCAACCUUGGAACUGCAUUUGAAACUUCAUGUCUAGAAUCCGGGAGGGGUGAGUGGAAUUCAUAGUGUAGAGGUGAAAUUCGCAGAUAUUAUGAGGAACACCAGUGGCGAAGGCGACUCACUGGACCGGUAUUGACGCUGAGGUACGAAAGCGUGGGGAGCAAACAGG
Molecule: ribosomal RNA, 253 nt
Filed under: uncultured bacterium
Lineage: Bacteria
Description: partial 16S ribosomal RNA
Rfam family: Bacterial small subunit ribosomal RNA
Source: RNAcentral